This 1414-nucleotide ribosomal RNA is filed under the name uncultured marine bacterium. RNAcentral's name for it is "bacterial SSU rRNA". It matches the Rfam family "Bacterial small subunit ribosomal RNA". The record is from RNAcentral.
GAGUUUGAUCCUGGCUCAGGAUGAACGCUAGCGGCAGGCCUAACACAUGCAAGUCGAGGGGUAACAUAGAAAAGCUUGCUUUUCUGAUGACGACCGGCGCACGGGUGCGUAACGCGUAUACAAUCUGCCUUAUACUGGGGUAUAGCCUUUAGAAAUGAAGAUUAAUCCCCCAUAGCCUCUUUUAAUGGCAUCAUUAUUAGAGUAAAGGUUACGGUAUAAGAUGAGUAUGCGUUCUAUUAGUUUGUUGGUGAGGUAACGGCUCACCAAGACUACGAUAGAUAGGGGCCCUGAGAAGGGGAUCCCCCACACUGGUACUGAGACACGGACCAGACUCCUACGGGAGGCAGCAGUGAGGAAUAUUGGACAAUGGAGGCAACUCUGAUCCAGCCAUGCCGCGUGCAGGAAGACUGCCCUAUGGGUUGUAAACUGCUUUUGUACAGGAAGAAACCUUGGUACGUGUACCAAGCUGACGGUACUGUAAGAAUAAGGAUCGGCUAACUCCGUGCCAGCAGCCGCGGUAAUACGGAGGAUCCAAGCGUUAUCCGGGAUCAUUGGGUUUAAAGGGUCCGUAGGUGGAUAAUUAAGUCAGAGGUGAAAUCUUGCAGCUCAACUGUAAAAUUGCCUUUGAUACUGGUUAUCUUGAGUCAUUAUGAAGUAGUUAGAAUAUGUAGUGUAGCGGUGAAAUGCAUAGAUAUUACAUAGAAUACCAAUUGCGAAGGCAGAUUACUAAUAAUGUACUGACACUGAUGGACGAAAGCGUGGGUAGCGAACAGGAUUAGAUACCCUGGUAGUCCACGCCGUAAACGAUGGUUACUAGCUGUGUGGACUUCGGUCUGCGUGGCUAAGCGAAAGUGAUAAGUAACCCACCUGGGGAGUACGUUCGCAAGAAUGAAACUCAAAGGAAUUGACGGGGGCCCGCACAAGCGGUGGAGCAUGUGGUUUAAUUCGAUGAUACGCGAGGAACCUUACCAGGGCUUAAAUGUAAGUUGCAUUAGUUAGAGAUAGCUAUUUCUUCGGACCACUUACAAGGUGCUGCAUGGUUGUCGUCAGCUCGUGCCGUGAGGUGUCAGGUUAAGUCCUAUAACGAGCGCAACUCUUGUCUUUAAUAAAUUUUUUACAUUAGAAAGUUCUAUGAAUUAGAUCUUUUAUUGCUUUAAAGAGACUUGUCUACGAUAAGUUGAAGGAAGGUGAGAAUUAAGUCAAGUCACUGUGGCCCUAAUGGGUUGGGCUACACACGUGCUACAAUGGAAAUUACAAUGAGUUAUUAGAGAGUAAAAUCUUUGAUUAAUCUUUAAAAAUUUUCUUAGUUCAGAUUAUGGGCUGCAACUCGCCCAUAUGAAGUUGGAAUCACUAGUAAUCGCAAAUCAGCAUGUUGCGGUGAAUAUGUAUCUUGGCCUUGUACUCACCGCCCGUC